This is a long non-coding RNA of Cynoglossus semilaevis (tongue sole), 777 nucleotides long. RefSeq lists it as uncharacterized. The record is from RefSeq and is a predicted model, not a curated record. Lineage: Eukaryota; Metazoa; Chordata; Actinopteri; Pleuronectiformes; Cynoglossidae. The transcript is spliced from 3 exons.
GCAGCAAUGAAAGUUGUUUUAAGGUUUUGGGUUUUUUUUAAAAAAUCACGGUACAUUUUUUAAAGAUUUGAAAAAAUGAGCCCGCUCACUAUGUUCUGCUUCAUGGAGCAGUUCCAGUUAUUGAAGUCAAGAAGAUUGGAGAAUAAAGAUAUUUAACAUAGAAAGUAGACUGUAAGAAUGUCAUGGAAUGCACCAGAGGGCAGAAAAUAGUUAGGCUAAUAUUUGGAGGCCAGAGACCAGCGCAGACACCAGUAGCUGAUAGCUAUUAGCUUGAGCUGCUUGAGAAACUACAGAGUCUUCAGUCCUGACCAGUCAAACCAGAGCUACCUUGCGGUGUUAACAACUGGCGAGUGCUGGUCAGGUGAUCUAUCUGUACUUCUGGGCACAUUCAUUUUGACCAGACCCACAAUUUUUACAUCACAAACCAGCCGGGACACUCGUCUUCAUCCGUUUGACCACGCCUGUCUUUUCUGGACAUUCCCGGACAAAUGAUUUGCUCUAUUCUCUGCCCAGAACACAUCGACGCUUACUUUGCAGUUCUCGGGGGAACCCGUGCUCAAUAAUUCGCUUAUUAACCAGGUCUUCAAGACUGAUCGACUGAAGGAUAUAAAUAACUUCUGUUGUAUGUAAUGGGUGAUAUUUUCUGCUCACUUGUGGCUGCUAUGUUUUCAUCCUGUUGCCUUGGUGACACUGGAGAUUAAAUGCUUCAGAAAGUCCCAAACAUCGUUGUUGUAUUCAGUUGGCCAUUUCCACUGUUUGCUGACAGAAAACUGAGGU